AUUGAACGCUGGCGGCAGGCUUAACACAUGCAAGUCGAGCGGAGAUGAGGUGCUUGCACCUUAUCUUAGCGGCGGACGGGUGAGUAAUGCUUAGGAGUCUGCCUAUUAGUGGGGGACAACAUUCCGAAAGGAAUGCUAAUACCGCAUACGUCCUACGGGAGAAAGCAGGGGAUCUUCGGACCUUGCGCUAAUAGAUGAGCCUAAGUCGGAUUAGCUAGUUGGUGGGGUAAAGGCCUACCAAGGCGACGAUCUGUAGCGGGUCUGAGAGGAUGAUCCGCCACACUGGGACUGAGACACGGCCCAGACUCCUACGGGAGGCAGCAGUGGGGAAUAUUGGACAAUGGGGGGAACCCUGAUCCAGCCAUGCCGCGUGUGUGAAGAAGGCCUUAUGGUUGUAAAGCACUUUAAGCGAGGAGGAGGCUACUGAGACUAGUACUCUUGGAUAGUGGACGUUACUCGCAGAAUAAGCACCGGCUAACUCUGUGCCAGCAGCCGCGGUAA
This 501-nucleotide ribosomal RNA is filed under the name uncultured bacterium. RNAcentral's name for it is "partial 16S ribosomal RNA". It matches the Rfam family "Bacterial small subunit ribosomal RNA", at positions 30 to 523 of the family's 1533-position model. The record is from RNAcentral.